This is a long non-coding RNA of Passer domesticus (house sparrow), 1956 nucleotides long. RefSeq lists it as uncharacterized. The record is from RefSeq and is a predicted model, not a curated record. The transcript is spliced from 3 exons. Lineage: Eukaryota; Metazoa; Chordata; Aves; Passeriformes; Passeridae.
CAAAAUUCAACAGUUCAUUUAAAAGUUGGUUGUCCUUUCUGCAUUCCUGGAUUUUUAGCUCCACCAUUCACCUUCUCCUAACAGCCCAGAGAAAGGCUGCUCAGAGAACUUGUGAGUAAGGAUGCCCGUGAAAAUACUUUUGAAGGUGCUGGAGUCUAUUAGUGUUGGUCACUAUUUAAGUACCACCUCCUAAGAGCAAAGGAACAGGCAAUUCCAAAAUGUUGGAAGUCAAGCAGGACCCUUCUGGACAAAACACCCAGCAAACAAAACACCCAGCCCACAGCUGGAUAAACAGAUCGCAUGGUGGGUGAGUAACUGGCUCAUGGGUCAGGCACAAAGGGUGACAGUGAAUGGAGUGAAAUCACACUGGUGACCUGUAACUAGUGGGAUUCCACAGCGCUCCCAUCUGCUCUUCAGAUCUUCAUAAACAACUUAGACACAGGAUUCAUAGGUAAAUUAAAGAAGUUUGCUCCCAUUAAACUGGGAGAUGCUGAAAGAGGCUGGAAAGCAGCACAGAAACAGAUCUGGGAAUCCCGGUCAAUGGUAAGUUGGAUCUGAGUCAGCAGUGCCCUGGUGGUCAGGAGGGACAACCUUGUCCUGUGGACAUCAGGCCCAGCAUCACCAGCUGGGCAAGGAAGGAGAUUGCCCAACUCUGCUCUGCUUUGGGGCAGCCUCAUGUCAGGUGCUGGGGGCAUUUUUGGAUACCACCAUGUUAGAUAUAAAGGUAUUAGAGAAUGUCUAAAGGAGGGCCAUGAAGGUGGUAAAGGGCCUUGAGGGGAAGUCAUACAAGGAGAGGCUGAGUGCACUUGAUCUGUUCAGAUUGGAGAAAAGGAGACUGAGUUACAUUGCAGUUACAACUUCCUGUGAAUGGAAAAGGAGGGGCAGACUUUGAUCUCUUCUUUGUAGUGACCAGUGACAGGAUCCAAGGGAAUGGCCUAAAGUUGAGUCAGGAGGGGUUUGACUAACUAAUUAUCAGGAAAUUUUUUUUCAUCCAGAGGUUAUUUGGGCACUGGAACAGGCUCCCCUGGGCAGUGGUCACAGCACCAAGCCUGACAGAAUACAAGUGUUUGGACAAUGCUCUCAGACACAUGGUAGGACUCUUGGGGAUGGUGCUGUGUGGGGCCGGGAGUUGCAUUUGAUGGUCCUUGUGAGUCCCUUUCAGCUCAGAAUAUUCUAUGACUGUGUGACUUUUUUUCUACAUUUCCUUUCCCAAGCUAGACAUGCUCUUUUUCAAAUGCUUUGGGACUGCUUUAUAGCUUUUUUUUUUUUACAUACUUCUGAAUUAUUUUAAAGAAGCAAAAAUCCAGUGAUACCACUUAAAUGUUAGUUUGGAUCUCUUGCCCAGGUAGUGAAAUUUUGUAAGGCAUAGUGCUGGCUUUUACACUAAUAAUGUAGGAUACCACAUCCUCUCUAAAGCUUUCUGCUCACAUCAGUCCUAGGUGGCACAGAAUGAAAUUGCAAGCCCAGAAACACACUACCCAAGAACUUUCAAAUUCAGAGCAGUGCAGUCAUUGAAAUAUUGAGUGGUAAUGUAAUGUGCCUUGUUUUUAAAACUUGUCUGUGACUGAUCAGCCUCUGUAUGCCUUGUUGCACUAAGGUUCUUGUCUAAAAUCACAAUGCUCUAAAUGACCCUGGUGCACAUGGCAGUGAGUGCUAAAGCUGUACCUCAUGGUGCUUGCUAGUUCACAUUUUGAUCAAGUGUGGGUAAUAAGUGGCCUAAAGCUAACUAAACUUAUUGUUUCUUACAGGUCCAGCUGAGUUACUGAAAUGUGUCUGCAUGCCUCAGGAUACCAAAUUUGUGACUUGAAAUACAGAUUAUUGAUUAUUGCUUUGGAAAAAGUAGCCAGAGGCAAUUAAGGAGACAUCAUAUAACUUCUAAAUUAAAUGAUGGUUAUCCAUGAUAAUUUUCAGCUGAGAUAUUGGCAACUUAUUAGAAGCAGCUUUGAGAUAAAAUAA